GUUGGUACCAUGGACCGCGGACCGCGGCCCAUGGACCGAACCGGACCGGACAAGACGGCCCAGACGGACGGAUGGGCGGGCGGACGAGCGGACGGACGGGGCCGACCGUACGAACCCACGAGGCCCAAUGACAACAAGUGAAGGCUAUAAAUACCUCUCCUGGUCCAACUGGGAGGGGGGUUGAUAAUUCUGAGAGAGUGAACACUGGAGAGUUGAGGUUGUGGGCUUACACCGGCGAGCACACGCACCAACAGUGGUGAACCUGACGUGAAACGAAAUACAUGGCGGCCGGAGAGAAGAGGAUGACGAAGAGCGGU
Molecule: long non-coding RNA, 317 nt
Filed under: Zostera marina
Lineage: Eukaryota; Viridiplantae; Streptophyta; Magnoliopsida; Alismatales; Zosteraceae
Description: long non-coding RNA (ZMAR_LNC003572)
Source: RNAcentral